Molecule: non-coding RNA, 305 nt
Organism: Chrysemys picta bellii (western painted turtle)
Lineage: Eukaryota; Metazoa; Chordata; Testudines; Emydidae
Source: the annotation of a RefSeq genome assembly
AUGUCUGGUCACAGAUCCAGCUGGUAGAGACUGGAGGGGGAAUCGAAACGUCUGGGGGAUCUCUCCGCCUCUCCUGCAAAGCCUCUGGAUUCACCUUUAGGAACUACUGUGUGAACUGGGUCCGUCAGGCGCCGGGGAAAGGACUGGAGUGGGUCUCAGAGAUACACAAUCCUGCUCAUAAUUCAGCAGCAUAUUACAGUGAUGCGGUUAAAGGGCGAUUCACCAGCUCCAGAGACGAGUCCCGCAGCUCGGUGUAUCUCCAAAUGAACAGCCUGAGAGCCGAAGACACCGCCCGGUAUUACUGU